Molecule: ribosomal RNA, 424 nt
Filed under: uncultured prokaryote
Description: bacterial SSU rRNA
Rfam family: Bacterial small subunit ribosomal RNA
Source: RNAcentral
UUAAGAAUCUUGCACAAUGGGCGCAAGCCUGAUGCAGCGACGCCGCGUGGAUGAUGAAGGCCUUCGGGUUGUAAAGUCCGGUAAGCAGGGAAGAAUAAGUGGGGGGUAAUAUUCCUCAUGAUGACGGUACCUGCCUAAAGCCCCGGCUAACUACGUGCCAGCAGCCGCGGUAAUACGUAUGGGGCGAGCGUUGUUCGGAAUUAUUGGGCGUAAAGGGCGUCUAGGCGGGGAUUUAAGUUAGGUGUGAAAGCUAUGGGCUCAACCCAUAAACUGCACCUAAAACUGGAUCUCUUGAGUUCGGGAGAGGAGAGCGGAAUUCCAGGUGUAGCGGUGAAAUGCGUAGAUAUCUGGAAGAACACCAGUGGCGAAGGCGGCUCUCUGGCCUAGGACUGACGCUGAAGCGCGAAAGCGUGGGGAGCGAACA